RNAcentral lists this non-coding RNA (21 nucleotides) under Arabidopsis thaliana (thale cress). Lineage: Eukaryota; Viridiplantae; Streptophyta; Magnoliopsida; Brassicales; Brassicaceae. The record is from RNAcentral.
AGGAACCUCGACUGAGGCGCC